UCCGUAGGCGGGCAGCUCAGUCAGUGGUGAAAGUUUGCAGCUCAACUGUAAAAUUGCCAUUGAUACUGGUUGUCUUGAAUUAAUGUGAAGUGGUUAGAAUAUGUAGUGUAGCGGUGAAAUGCAUAGAUAUUACAUGGAAUACCAAUUGCGAAGGCAGAUCACUAACAUUAUAUUGACGCUGAUGGACGAAAGCGUGGGGAGCGAACAGGAUUAGAUACCCUGGUAGUC
This 228-nucleotide ribosomal RNA is filed under the name uncultured bacterium. Its description in RNAcentral is "partial 16S ribosomal RNA". It matches the Rfam family "Bacterial small subunit ribosomal RNA", at positions 568 to 795 of the family's 1533-position model. The record is from RNAcentral.